GCAAUACCAUAGUGGCGCACGGGUGCGUAACACGUAACUAACCUACCUAUAACUGGGGGAUAGCCCGCCGAAAGGCGGAUUAAUACCGCAUAAGCUGCUUGGGUGGCAUCACCUGAAUAGUAAAGAUUUAUUGGUUAUAGAUGGGGUUGCGGGUCAUUAGCUAGUUGGUAAGGUAACGGCUUACCAAGGCGACGAUGACUAGGGGAGCUGAGAGGCUGGUCCCCCACACGGGCACUGAGAUACGGGCCCGACUCCUACGGGAGGCAGCAGUAGGGAAUAUUGGGCAAUGGGCGAGAGCCUGACCCAGCCAUGCCGCGUGCAGGAAGAAGGCUUUCUGAGUCGUAAACUGCUUUUGACAGGGAAGAAUAAGCACUACGUGUAGUGUGAUGACGGUACCUGCAGAAUAAGCACCGGCUAACUCCGUGCCAGCAGCCGC
This 436-nucleotide ribosomal RNA is filed under the name uncultured Bacteroidota bacterium. RNAcentral describes it as "bacterial SSU rRNA". It matches the Rfam family "Bacterial small subunit ribosomal RNA", at positions 84 to 518 of the family's 1533-position model. Lineage: Bacteria; Pseudomonadati; Bacteroidota. The record is from RNAcentral.